Molecule: small nuclear RNA, 105 nt
Filed under: Catagonus wagneri (Chacoan peccary)
Lineage: Eukaryota; Metazoa; Chordata; Mammalia; Artiodactyla; Tayassuidae
Source: RNAcentral
UUGCUUUGGGAGCACAUAUACUAAAAAACUGGAACGCUACAGAGAAGAUUAGCAUGGCCCCUGUGCAAGGAUGAUGUGCAAAUUUGUAAAGCAUUCCAUAUUUUU